CAACUUUUGACAACGGAUCUCUUGGCUCUCGCAACGAUGAAGAACGCAGCGAAAUGCGAUACGUAAUGUGAAUUGCUUUCCGUGAAUCAUCGAAUCUUUGAACGCACAUUGCACUCCUCUGGAGUAUGCCUGUUUGAGAAUCUAUA
Molecule: ribosomal RNA, 146 nt
Filed under: uncultured Rhizophydiales
Lineage: Eukaryota; Fungi; Chytridiomycota; Chytridiomycetes; Rhizophydiales
Description: 5.8S ribosomal RNA
Rfam family: 5.8S ribosomal RNA
About the family: 5.8S ribosomal RNA (5.8S rRNA) is a component of the large subunit of the eukaryotic ribosome. It is transcribed by RNA polymerase I as part of the 45S precursor that also contains 18S and 28S rRNA.
Source: RNAcentral